RNAcentral lists this ribosomal RNA (253 nucleotides) under uncultured bacterium. RNAcentral's name for it is "partial 16S ribosomal RNA". It matches the Rfam family "Bacterial small subunit ribosomal RNA", at positions 524 to 776 of the family's 1533-position model. The record is from RNAcentral.
UACGAAGGGGGCUAGCGUUGCUCGGAAUCACUGGGCGUAAAGCGCACGUAGGCGGCUUUUUAAGUCAGAGGUGAAAUCCUGGAGCUCAACUCCAGAACUGCCUUUGAUACUGGAGAGCUUGAGACCGGAAGAGGUAAGUGGAACUGCGAGUGUAGAGGUGAAAUUCGUAGAUAUUCGCAAGAACACCAGUGGCGAAGGCGGCUUACUGGUCCGGUUCUGACGCUGAGGCGCGAAAGCGUGGGGAGCAAACAGG